This 421-nucleotide ribosomal RNA is filed under the name uncultured bacterium. RNAcentral's name for it is "bacterial SSU rRNA". It matches the Rfam family "Bacterial small subunit ribosomal RNA", at positions 356 to 773 of the family's 1533-position model. The record is from RNAcentral.
GAGGAAUAUUGGUCAAUGGGCGCAAGCCUGAACCAGCCAUCCCGCGUGCAGGAAGACGGCCCUAUGGGUUGUAAACUGCUUUUCCAGGGGGAGAAACUUGCGCACGUGUUGCGCAAUUGACGGUACCCUGGGAAUAAGCAUCGGCUAACUCCGUGCCAGCAGCCGCGGUAAUACGGAGGAUGCGAGCGUUAUCCGGAUUCAUUGGGUUUAAAGGGUGCGUAGGCGGACUAUUAAGUCAGUGGUGAAAUCCUGCAGCUUAACUGCAGAACUGCCAUUGAUACUGAUAGUCUUGAGUUUGGUUAAGGUAGGCGGAAUGUGUAAUGUAGCGGUGAAAUGCUUAGAUAUUACACAGAACACCAAUUGCGUAGGCAGCUUACUGAGCCGACACUGACGCUGAGGCACGAAAGCGUGGGGAUCGAAC